Molecule: long non-coding RNA, 1487 nt
Filed under: Mus caroli (Ryukyu mouse)
Lineage: Eukaryota; Metazoa; Chordata; Mammalia; Rodentia; Muridae
Description: lncRNA (MGP_CAROLIEiJ_G0006653.1)
Source: RNAcentral
GAAGAUCUCAGCAUCAAAGGGCAACAACCCUGGCGUUAAAAUACAUCGGAUCAAAUCUGGUAUUUACAAUGUAGUCAAAGGCACAGUGGCAUUGAAAAACAAAACGCUGGGAAAUUUAUAGUAAAAGAUUCGUUGUAAUCAUUAAUCUGGUUUCAGCUAGGAGAAUUAACUCUUGAGAGAAGAUGCACACAGCAGGCCUUCGGAACCCGCGUGCCAGUUACUAGGGAGACCACGCCUCCUUCAGACCACGCCUCCUUCCCGCAGUUUACAUCUUUCCGGCCUUCUUGCCCAUCUGCGCGGGCACUCGGAGGAUGUUGGGGGUCUCCUCCAUGACUCUGACUAGCAGGUUGUCGAUGUAGUCCUCCAGCUCCCGCACCUGAAACUCCUUCUUGCUGAUGGUCUCCUUCUGUUUGAGGACUAGCUGGAUCAGCUCAUCGUGGGUCAGCUGUGCGUGUUAAAACACACGCCACCACACCCGGCUUAGAAAGCCACUUUCCACAAAGGAUGAAACCAGGCGGCUGACGAGAAGAGAGAAGGACUUUGGAGUCUGUAGAGUAGGGCCACGAUUACAAGCCUGAGCUACCACACCCUUUUUAUGUGGUCCUGAGGAUCAACCCCACGAUUCCUGAUUACUAAGCAAGAACUCCAUCAACUGAAUUAAACCCUGAGCCCUUUCCUUUUACUUACUUCUUAAAAUGACACACUCCCUGAGAUGGAACCCGUGUCUGACACUGCUCCAGUCAUGAAGAACCUGAGACUAGGCAGGCCAUGGACCCAGGGAAAGUCAAAUACUCUGCUAAAGGGACAGAGCAAUAGAAGGACUCCUAAUGACACUCUGCCACAUCUAAGAUCUCGAGAAGUCCCAGCAACUGAACCAUCCCUCCAUCCCUCCCCUCGGGGCUCAGGGAACCCCGUGGAAGAGGAGGUAGGAAGAGUGUAAGGGGCAGAGGGAAGUACAGCAAGACAAGAAGGACUGACUGACACGCCUGUGCUUCCACAGACGGGCAGCAUGCUCAGGUUCAAGCCAGGUGCCUCCCAGCACGGAGAGAGGAAGCGGACACCAGGCCCCACCUUAACUCAAAAAGCCAUCCCCAACUGACAACCAUUUACAAAGGAAACAUUAGUUUCUCAAGUGAGUCUCCUUGGGUACACAAACCCACUUGAUGUGCAGGCCCCAUGCCCAGUGGUAGAUAGCCAACACAAAAUGAAAAUAGUAUUUUUGUAGAUUUUUUUUUUUUGGUCUCUUAUUGCUUUAUAUGGAGUUUUUAUUUUUAAACCCUGCUGGCCAUUUGCUUAUAUAUUAUUGUUUCCAAUUUUGUGUUUUUAUUUUCUCUCUUUGUGUGUAUACUUUUCUGUUUUAUUCUGGUUUUUGUUUUGUUUUUACUUAUCUGUAUGUUCUGUAAAGAGAGGGGGGCAUGGAAUUGGAUGGGCAGGGAGGAUCUGGGAGUAAAGGAGGGAGGGGGAACCAUGAUCAAAUACAUUACAUG